This is a regulatory RNA element of Cavia porcellus (domestic guinea pig), 46 nucleotides long. It matches the Rfam family "Histone 3' UTR stem-loop". From Rfam's summary of the family: The mRNAs of metazoan histone genes lack a poly-A tail. The record is from Rfam. NCBI's taxonomy places the organism in Eukaryota, Metazoa, Chordata, Mammalia, Rodentia, Caviidae.
CAAAAGGCUCUUCUAAGAGCCACCUACUAACACAGUAAAAUAGCUG